AUAGUAAUUUGUCUGGAGGAAGAUGAAUUAUACAAGGAAGAUGAUAAACCAUACACAAUCUUACAAAGGUUGGAUGACCCACUUUCUCUGAAGGUGAUGCUAAUGCUUCUCAGAAUAUGACACCGAGAAGAAGGUGACCUGAAAUGGUGCAAGUCAUUGGAAAGAGUGGUGAAAUUCAUCCUGCAGCAGCUCACCUCAGCACCAUGUUUAGUACUUGAAAAGUGGUUCAUGAGUGCUUUCUCACAACUCUCAUCCACACCUCUCUGGCUCUGAAUGCUGAAUUAUAAUUGUGUUAUGUUAUUUCUUCAAGGGAAACUGUAUCAAUAACAAAGUACAGAGAAGUGGACGUUUAAUCUUAAAUCACAGUAACAUCAAAUUAUUGUCAAGGAAAAAUGGACCUCAAAUCGUCUUGGAGAUGAAAAUAUAAAACAAACAUUGAGGUUUUAAAAUAAUUAAAUGUAACUUAAAUAGUAUUGGCAUUAGGUAUCACAUUAUAAGAUCAUCUGACAGUGCACUGAUUCAAAAUGAGACCGUAAUGAAACAGACAUGUCUAUAUCAAGUCCACUUAUACUGUCUUCAGGAGCAAAUUUC
RNAcentral lists this long non-coding RNA (591 nucleotides) under Chrysemys picta bellii (western painted turtle). RNAcentral's name for it is "lncRNA (ENSCPBG00000003394.1)". The record is from RNAcentral. Lineage: Eukaryota; Metazoa; Chordata; Testudines; Emydidae.